GACGAACUCUGGCGGCGUGCUUAACACAUGCAAGUCGAACGGAAAGGCCCUGCUUUUGUGGGGUGCUCGAGUGGCGAACGGGUGAGCAACACGUGAGUAACCUGCCCUUGACUUUGGGAUAACUUCAGGAAACUGGGGCUAAUACCGGAUAGGAGCUCCUGCUGCAUGGUGGGGGUUGGAAAGUUUCGGCGGUUGGGGAUGGACUCGCGGCUUAUCAGCUUGUUGGUGGGGUAGUGGCUUACCAAGGCUUUGACGGGUAGCCGGCCUGAGAGGGUGACCGGCCACAUUGGGACUGAGAUACGGCCCAGACUCCUACGGGAGGCAGCAGUGGGGAAUAUUGCACAAUGGGCGGAAGCCUGAUGCAGCAACGCCGCGUGCGGGAUGACGGCCUUCGGGUUGUAAACCGCUUUCGCCUGUGACGAAGCGUGAGUGACGGUAAUGGGUAAAGAAGCACCGGCUAACUACGUGCCAGCAGCCGCGGUGAUACGUAGGGUGCGAGCGUUGUCCGGAUUUAUUGGGCGUAAAGGGCUCGUAGGUGGUUGAUCGCGUCGGAAGUGUAAUCUUGGGGCUUAACCCUGAGCGUGCUUUCGAUACGGGUUGACUUGAGGAAGGUAGGGGAGAAUGGAAUUCCUGGUGGAGCGGUGGAAUGCGCAGAUAUCAGGAGGAACACCAGUGGCGAAGGCGGUUCUCUGGGCCUUUCCUGACGCUGAGGAGCGAAAGCGUGGGGAGCGAACAGGCUUAGAUACCCUGGUAGUCCACGCUGUAAACGGUGGGUACUAGGUGUGGGGUCCAUUCCACGGGUUCCGUGCCGUAGCUAACGCUUUAAGUACCCCGCCUGGGGAGUACGGCCGCAAGGCUAAAACUCAAAGGAAUUGACGGGGCCCCGCACAAGCGGCGGAGCAUGCGGAUUAAUUCGAUGCAACGCGUAGAACCUUACCUGGGUUUGACAUGGAUCGGGAGUGCUCAGAGAUGGGUGUGCCUCUUUUGGGGUCGGUUCACAGGUGGUGCAUGGCUGUCGUCAGCUCGUGUCGUGAGAUGUUGGGUUAAGUCCCGCAACGAGCGCAACCCUUGUUCACUGUUGCCAGCACGUUAUGGUGGGGACUCAGUGGAGACCGCCGGGGUCAACUCGGAGGAAGGUGGGGAUGACGUCAAGUCAUCAUGCCCCUUAUGUCCAGGGCUUCACGCAUGCUACAAUGGCUGGUACAGAGAGUGGCGAGCCUGUGAGGGUGAGCGAAUCUCGGAAAGCCGGUCUCAGUUCGGAUUGGGGUCUGCAACUCGACCUCAUGAAGUCGGAGUCGCUAGUAAUCGCAGAUCAGCAACGCUGCGGUGAAUACGUUCCCGGG
Molecule: ribosomal RNA, 1343 nt
Filed under: uncultured bacterium
Lineage: Bacteria
Description: 16S ribosomal RNA
Rfam family: Bacterial small subunit ribosomal RNA
Source: RNAcentral